This 419-nucleotide ribosomal RNA is filed under the name bacterium. RNAcentral's name for it is "partial 16S ribosomal RNA". It matches the Rfam family "Bacterial small subunit ribosomal RNA", at positions 355 to 776 of the family's 1533-position model. The record is from RNAcentral.
UGGGGGAUAUUGCACAAUGGGCGAAAGCCUGAUGCAGCGACGCCGCGUGGGGGAUGAAGGCCUUCGGGUUGUAAACUUCUUUUGCUCUGAACAAGGCGCACCAUGGGGUGUGUUGAGUGUAGGGGUUGAUUAGCGCCGGCUAACUACGUGCCAGCAGCCGCGGUAAUACGUAGGGCGCGAGCGUUGUCCGGAAUUAGUGGGCGUAAAGGGCUUGUAGGUGGCUGGUUGCGUCUGUCGUGAAAGCUCAUGGCUUAACUGUGGGUUUGCGGUGGGUACGGGCUGGCUUGAGAGCAGUAGGGGAGGCUGGAAUUCCUGGUGUAGCGGUGGAAUGCGCAGAUAUCAGGAGGAAUACCGGUGGCGAAGGCGGGUCUCUGGGCUGUUACUGACACUGAGGAGCGAAAGAAUGGGGAGCGAACAGG